GAUCAUGGCUCAGAACGAACGCUGGCGGCAGGCCUAACACAUGCAAGUCGAACGCGACCUUCGGGUCGAGUGGCGCACGGGUGAGUAACGCGUGGGAAUCUGCCCUGUGGUACGGAAUAACAUCGGGAAACUGGUGCUAAUACCGGAUAAUGUCUUCGGACCAAAGAUUUAUCGCCCAGGGAUGAGCCCGCGUAGGAUUAGCUAGUUGGUGAGGUAAAGGCUCACCAAGGCGACGAUCCUUAGCUGGUCUGAGAGGAUGAUCAGCCACACUGGGACUGAGACACGGCCCAGACUCCUACGGGAGGCAGCAGUGGGGAAUAUUGGACAAUGGGCGAAAGCCUGAUCCAGCAAUGCCGCGUGAGUGAUGAAGGCCUUAGGGUUGUAAAGCUCUUUUACCCGGGAUGAUAAUGACAGUACCGGGAGAAUAAGCCCCGGCUAACUCCGUG
Molecule: ribosomal RNA, 446 nt
Filed under: uncultured bacterium
Lineage: Bacteria
Description: bacterial SSU rRNA
Rfam family: Bacterial small subunit ribosomal RNA
Source: RNAcentral